This 433-nucleotide ribosomal RNA is filed under the name uncultured bacterium. RNAcentral describes it as "partial 16S ribosomal RNA". It matches the Rfam family "Bacterial small subunit ribosomal RNA", at positions 29 to 507 of the family's 1533-position model. The record is from RNAcentral.
AGCGAACGCUGGCGGCAGGCCUAACACAUGCAAGUCGAACGAACUCUUCGGAGUUAGUGGCGGACGGGUGAGUAACACGUGGGAACGUGCCUUUAGGUUCGGAAUAACUCAGGGAAACUUGAGCUAAUACCGGAUGUGCCCUUCGGGGGAAAGAUUUAUCGCCUUUAGAGCGGCCCGCGUCUGAUUAGCUGGUUGGUGAGGUAAAGGCUCACCAAGGCGACGAUCAGUAGCUGGUCUGAGAGGAUGAUCAGCCACAUUGGGACUGAGACACGGCCCAAACUCCUACGGGAGGCAGCAGUGGGGAAUCUUGCGCAAUGGGCGAAAGCCUGACGCAGCCAUGCCGCGUGAAUGAUGAAGGUCUUAGGAUUGUAAAAUUCUUUCACCGGGGACGAUAAUGACGGUACCCGGAGAAGAAGCCCCGGCUAACUUCGUG